This 64-nucleotide transfer RNA is filed under the name Teredorus hainanensis. RNAcentral describes it as "tRNA-Cys". The record is from RNAcentral. Lineage: Eukaryota; Metazoa; Arthropoda; Insecta; Orthoptera; Tetrigidae.
GGUCUUAUAUUCAAUUAUGAUUUUAGAUUGCAAUUCUAAUGGUGUGAUGUAAUCACUAAGGUCU